RNAcentral lists this ribosomal RNA (487 nucleotides) under uncultured bacterium. RNAcentral's name for it is "bacterial SSU rRNA". It matches the Rfam family "Bacterial small subunit ribosomal RNA", at positions 29 to 516 of the family's 1533-position model. The record is from RNAcentral.
AAUAAACGUUGGCGGCGUGCUUAACACAUGCAAGUCGAGCGAGAAAAGUCUUCGGACUGAGUACAGCGGCAAACGGGUGAGUAACGCGUAGGAAUCUGCCUUUCAGUGAAGAAUACCCUCGAGAAAUCGAGGUUAAUACUGCAUACGUCUUGAAAAAGGAAAGAUGGCCUCUUUGCUGUCGCUGAAAGAUGAGCCUGCGUACUAUUAGCUAGUUGGUGGGGUAAAGGCCUACCAAGGCGAUGAUGGUUAGCCGGCCUGAGAGGGUGUACGGCCACACUGGAACUUAGACACGGUCCAGACUCCUACGGGAGGCAGCAGUGAGGAAUAUUGCGCAAUGGGCGAAAGCCUGACGCAGCGACGCCGCGUGGAGGAUGAAGGUCUUCGGAUUGUAAACUUCUGUUAAGCGGGAAGAAAUGAGAGGCUCUAAUACAGCCUUAAGAUGACGGUACCGCUAGAGAAAGCACCGGCUAACUUCGUGCCAGCAGCC